GACGAACGCUGGCGGCGUGCUUAACACAUGCAAGUCGAACGGAAAGGCCCUGCUUUUGUGGGGUGCUCGAGUGGCGAACGGGUGAGUAACACGUGAGUAACCUGCCCUUGACUUUUGGGAUAACUUCAGGAAACUGGGGCUAAUACCGGAUAGGAGCUCCUGCUGCAUGGUGGGGGUUGGAAAGUUUCGGCGGUUGGGGAUGGACUCGCGGCUUAUCAGCUUGUUGGUGGGGUAGUGGCUUACCAAGGCUUUGACGGGUAGCCGGCCUGAGAGGGUGACCGGCCACAUUGGGACUGAGAUACGGCCCAGACUCCUACGGGAGGCAGCAGUGGGGAAUAUUGCACAAUGGGCGGAAGCCUGAUGCAGCAACGCCGCGUGCGGGAUGACGGCCUUCGGGUUGUAAACCGCUUUCGCCUGUGACGAAGCGUGAGUGACGGUAAUGGGUAAAGAAGCACCGGCUAACUACGUG
RNAcentral lists this ribosomal RNA (469 nucleotides) under uncultured bacterium. Its description in RNAcentral is "partial 16S ribosomal RNA". It matches the Rfam family "Bacterial small subunit ribosomal RNA", at positions 28 to 507 of the family's 1533-position model. The record is from RNAcentral.